This 468-nucleotide ribosomal RNA is filed under the name uncultured bacterium. RNAcentral's name for it is "partial 16S ribosomal RNA". It matches the Rfam family "Bacterial small subunit ribosomal RNA", at positions 28 to 507 of the family's 1533-position model. The record is from RNAcentral.
GACGAACGCUGGCGGCGUGCUUAACACAUGCAAGUCGAACGGAAAGGCCCUGCUUUUGUGGGGUGCUCGAGUGGCGAACGGGUGAGUAACACGUGAGUAACCUGCCCUUGACUUUGGGAUAACUUCAGGAAACUGGGGCUAAUACCGGAUAGGAGCUCCUGCUGCAUGGUGGGGGUUGGAAAGUUUCGGCGGUUGGGGAUGGACUCGCGGCUUAUCAGCUUGUUGGUGGGGUAGUGGCUUACCAAGGCUUUGACGGGUAGCCGGCCUGAGAGGGUGACCGGCCACAGUGGGACUGAGAUACGGCCCAGACUCCUACGGGAGGCAGCAGUGAGGAAUAUUGCACAAUGGGCGGAAGCCGGAUGCAGCAACGCCGCGUGCGGGAUGACGGCCUUCGGGUUGUAAACCGCUUUCGCCUGUGACGAAGCGUGAGUGACGGUAAUGGGUAGAGAAGCACCGGCUAACUACGUG